GACGAACGCUGGCGGCGUGCUUAACACAUGCAAGUCGAACGGAAAGGCCCUGCGUUUGUGUGGUGCUCGUGUGGCGCACGGGUGAGUAACACGUGAGUAACCUGCCCUUGACUUUGGGAUAACUUCAGGAAACUGGGGCUAAUACCGGAUAGAAUCUCCUGAUGCGUGGUGGGGGUUGGAAAGAUCCGGCGGUUGGGGAUGGACUCGCGGCUUAUCAGCUUGUUGGUGGGGUAGUGGCUUACCAAGGGUUUGAAGGGUAGCCGGCCUGAGAGGGUGACCGGCCACAUGGGGACUGCGGUACGGCCCAGACUCGUACGGGCGGCAGCAGUGGGGAAUAUUGCACAAUGGGCGGAAGCCUGAUGCAGCAACGCCGCGUGCGGGAUGACGGCCUUCGGGUUGUAAACCGCUUUCGCCUGUGACGAAGCGUGAGUGACGGUAAUGGGUAAAGAAGCACCGGCUAACUACGUG
This 468-nucleotide ribosomal RNA is filed under the name uncultured bacterium. RNAcentral's name for it is "partial 16S ribosomal RNA". It matches the Rfam family "Bacterial small subunit ribosomal RNA", at positions 28 to 507 of the family's 1533-position model. The record is from RNAcentral.